CUGGCGGUAUGCUUAACACAUGCAAGCCGAACGGCAGCACAGGAUAGCUUGCUAUCCGGGUGGCGAGUGGCGGACGGGUGAGUAACGCGUAGGAAUCUACCUUUUCGUGGGGGAUAACCCGGGGAAACUCGGGCUAAUACCGCAUACGCCCUACGGGGGAAAGCGGGGGACCUUCGGGCCUCGCGCGGAAUGAUGAGCCUGCGUCCUAUCAGGUAGUUGGUGAGGUAAUGGCUCACCAAGCCGACGACGGGUAGCUGGUCUGAGAGGACGACCAGCCACACUGGGACUGAGACACGGCCCAACUCCUACGGGAGGCAGCAGUGGGGAAUAUUGGACAAUGGGGGAAACCCUGAUCCAGCAAUACCGCGUGUUUUGAAAAAAGGCCUUCCGGUUUGUAAAGCACUUU
Molecule: ribosomal RNA, 406 nt
Filed under: uncultured bacterium
Lineage: Bacteria
Description: bacterial SSU rRNA
Rfam family: Bacterial small subunit ribosomal RNA
Source: RNAcentral